GGCUCGGUGGCCAAGUGGCAAGGCGUUGGUCUCGUAAACCAAAGAUCACGGGUUCGAAUCCCGUCCGGGCCU
Nematostella vectensis (starlet sea anemone) is the source of this 72-nucleotide non-coding RNA. The record is from Rfam. Lineage: Eukaryota; Metazoa; Cnidaria; Anthozoa; Actiniaria; Edwardsiidae.